RNAcentral lists this ribosomal RNA (503 nucleotides) under uncultured bacterium. Its description in RNAcentral is "bacterial SSU rRNA". It matches the Rfam family "Bacterial small subunit ribosomal RNA", at positions 8 to 507 of the family's 1533-position model. The record is from RNAcentral.
AGAGUUUGAUCCUGGCUCAGGAUGAACGCUAGCGGCAGGCCUAAUACAUGCAAGACGAACGGUAAGUUGAGUAGCAAUACUUAGCCAAGAGUGUCGUACGGGUGCGUAACACGUAUGCAACCUACCCUAUACAGGAGGAUAGCCUAGGGAAACCUGGAUUAACCCUUCAUAGUAUUAUUGGAUGGCAUCAUUUGAUAAUUAAAACUGAGGUGGUAUAGGAUGGGCAUGCGUCUGAUUAGUUAGUUGGCGGGGUAAUGGCCCACCAAGACGAUGAUCAGUAGGGGUUCUGAGAGGAAGAUCCCCCACACUGGCACUGAGAUACGGGCCAGACUCCUACGGGAGGCAGCAGUAGGGAAUAUUGGUCAAUGGAUGCAAGUCUGAACCAGCCAUGCCGCGUGCAGGAAGAAGGCCUUCUGGGUUGUAAACUGCUUUUGCCAGGGGAUAAAAUUUCCAUGCGUGGAAAACUGAAGGUACCUGGUGAAUAAGCCACGGCUAACUACGUG